UAGGGAAUCUUCGGCAAUGGACGGAAGUCUGACCGAGCAACGCCGCGUGAGUGAAGAAGGUUUUCGGAUCGUAAAGCUCUGUUGUAAGAGAAGAACGAGUGUGAGAGUGGAAAGUUCACACUGUGACGGUAUCUUACCAGAAAGGGACGGCUAACUACGUGCCAGCAGCCGCGGUAAUACGUAGGUCCCGAGCGCUGUCCGGAUUUAUUGGGCGUAAAGCGAGCGCAGGCGGUUAGAUAAGUCUGAAGUUAAAGGCUGUGGCUUAACCAUAGUACGCUUUGGAAACUGUUUAACUUGAGUGCAAGAGGGGAGAGUGGAAUUCCAUGUGUAGCGGUGAAAUGCGUAGAUAUAUGGAGGAACACCGGUGGCGAAAGCGGCUCUCUGGCUUGUAACUGACGCUGAGGCUCGAAAGCGUGGGGAGCAAACAGGAUUAGAUACCCUGGUAGUCCACGCCGUAAACGAUGAGUGCUAGGUGUUAGACCCUUUCCGGGGUUUAGUGCCGUAGCUAACGCAUUAAGCACUCCGCCUGGGGAGUACGACCGCAAGGUUG
Molecule: ribosomal RNA, 550 nt
Filed under: uncultured bacterium
Lineage: Bacteria
Description: bacterial SSU rRNA
Rfam family: Bacterial small subunit ribosomal RNA
Source: RNAcentral